RNAcentral lists this ribosomal RNA (513 nucleotides) under uncultured microorganism. RNAcentral's name for it is "bacterial SSU rRNA". It matches the Rfam family "Bacterial small subunit ribosomal RNA", at positions 9 to 524 of the family's 1533-position model. The record is from RNAcentral.
GAGUUUAAUCCUGGCUCAGGAUGAACGCUGGCGGCGUGCUUAACACAUGCAAGUCGAACGAGGAAUUUUAAAUGAGACUUCGGUGGAUUUUAAAAUUCUUAGUGGCGGACGGUUGAGUAACGCGUGGGCAACCUGCCCUGUACAGGGGGGACAACAGCUGGAAACGGCUGCUAAUACCGCAUAAGACCACGGAGCCGCAUGGCUCAGUGGGAAAAACUCCAGUGGUACAGGAUGGGCCCGCGUUGGAUUAGGUAGUUGGUGAGGUAACGGCCCACCAAGCCGACGAUCCAUAGCCGACCUGAGAGGGUGACCGGCCACGUUGGGACUGAGACACGGCCCAAACUCCUACGGGAGGCAGCAGUGGGGAAUCUUCCGCAAUGGGCGAAAGCCUGACGGAGCAACGCCGCGUGAGUGAAGAAUUAUUUCGGUAUGUAAAGCUCUAUCAGCAGGGAAGAAAAUGACGGUACCUGACUAAGAAGCCCCGGCUAACUACGUGCCAGCAGCCGCGGUAAC